ACGGGAGGCAGCAGUGGGGAAUAUUGGACAAUGGGGGAAACCCUGAUCCAGCGACGCCGCGUGAGUGAAGAAGUAUUUCGGUAUGUAAAGCUCUAUCAGCAAGGAAGAAAAUGACGGUACUUGACUAAGAAGCUCCGGCUAAAUACGUGCCAGCAGCCGCGGUAAUACGUAGGGGGCAAGCGUUAUCCGGAUUUACUGGGUGUAAAGGGAGCGUAGACGGUAUGGCAAGUCUGAUGUGAAAACCCAAGGCUCAACCAUGGGACUGCAUUGGAAACUGUCAAACUAGAGUGCAGGAGGGGUAAGCGGAAUUCCUAGUGUAGCGGUGAAAUGCGUAGAUAUUAGGAGGAACACCGGUGGCGAAGGCGGCUUACUGGACUGUAACUGACGUUGAGGCUCGAAAGCGUGGGGAGCAAACAGGAUUAGAUACCCUGGUA
This 434-nucleotide ribosomal RNA is filed under the name uncultured Lachnospiraceae bacterium. Its description in RNAcentral is "partial 16S ribosomal RNA". It matches the Rfam family "Bacterial small subunit ribosomal RNA", at positions 341 to 792 of the family's 1533-position model. The record is from RNAcentral. Lineage: Bacteria; Bacillati; Bacillota; Clostridia; Lachnospirales; Lachnospiraceae.